This 2903-nucleotide ribosomal RNA is filed under the name Enterobacter cloacae. RNAcentral's name for it is "23S ribosomal RNA". It matches the Rfam family "Bacterial large subunit ribosomal RNA". Lineage: Bacteria; Pseudomonadati; Pseudomonadota; Gammaproteobacteria; Enterobacterales; Enterobacteriaceae. The record is from RNAcentral.
GGUUAAGCGACUAAGCGUACACGGUGGAUGCCCUGGCAGUCAGAGGCGAUGAAGGACGUGCUAAUCUGCGAAAAGCGCCGGCGAGGUGAUAUGAACCCUUGACCCGGCGAUGUCCGAAUGGGGAAACCCAGUGCAAUCCGUUGCACUAUCGUUAACUGAAUACAUAGGUUAACGAGGCGAACCGGGGGAACUGAAACAUCUAAGUACCCCGAGGAAAAGAAAUCAACCGAGAUUCCCCCAGUAGCGGCGAGCGAACGGGGAGCAGCCCAGAGUCUGAAUCAGCUUGUGUGUUAGUGGAAGCGUCUGGAAAGUCGCACGGUACAGGGUGAAAGUCCCGUACACGAAAAUGCACAGGCUGUGAACUCGAAGAGUAGGGCGGGACACGUGGUAUCCUGUCUGAAUAUGGGGGGACCAUCCUCCAAGGCUAAAUACUCCUGACUGACCGAUAGUGAACCAGUACCGUGAGGGAAAGGCGAAAAGAACCCCGGCGAGGGGAGUGAAAAAGAACCUGAAACCGUGUACGUACAAGCAGUGGGAGCACCUUCGGGUGUGACUGCGUACCUUUUGUAUAAUGGGUCAGCGACUUAUAUUCUGUAGCAAGGUUAACCGUAUAGGGGAGCCGAAGGGAAACCGAGUCUUAACUGGGCGUUAAGUUGCAGGGUAUAGACCCGAAACCCGGUGAUCUAGCCAUGGGCAGGUUGAAGGUUGGGUAACACUAACUGGAGGACCGAACCGACUAAUGUUGAAAAAUUAGCGGAUGACCUGUGGCUGGGGGUGAAAGGCCAAUCAAACCGGGAGAUAGCUGGUUCUCCCCGAAAGCUAUUUAGGUAGCGCCUCGUGAACUCAUCUUCGGGGGUAGAGCACUGUUUCGGCUAGGGGGCCAUCCCGGCUUACCAACCCGAUGCAAACUACGAAUACCGAAGAAUGUUAUCACGGGAGACACACGGCGGGUGCUAACGUCCGUCGUGAAGAGGGAAACAACCCAGACCGCCAGCUAAGGUCCCAAAGUCAUGGUUAAGUGGGAAACGAUGUGGGAAGGCCCAGACAGCCAGGAUGUUGGCUUAGAAGCAGCCAUCAUUUAAAGAAAGCGUAAUAGCUCACUGGUCGAGUCGGCCUGCGCGGAAGAUGUAACGGGGCUAAACCAUGCACCGAAGCUGCGGCAGCGACACUAUGUGUUGUUGGGUAGGGGAGCGUUCUGUAAGCCGUUGAAGGUGGCCUGUGAGGGUUGCUGGAGGUAUCAGAAGUGCGAAUGCUGACAUAAGUAACGAUAAAGCGGGUGAAAAGCCCGCUCGCCGGAAGACCAAGGGUUCCUGUCCAACGUUAAUCGGGGCAGGGUGAGUCGACCCCUAAGGCGAGGCCGAAAGGCGUAGUCGAUGGGAAACAGGUUAAUAUUCCUGUACUUGGUGUUACUGCGAAGGGGGGACGGAGAAGGCUAUGUUAGCCGGGCGACGGUUGUCCCGGUUUAAGCAUGUAGGCGGAGGUUCCAGGUAAAUCCGGUACCUUUUAACGCUGAGGUGUGAUGACGAGGCACUACGGUGCUGAAGUAACAAAUGCCCUGCUUCCAGGAAAAGCCUCUAAGCAUCAGGUAACACGAAAUCGUACCCCAAACCGACACAGGUGGUCAGGUAGAGAAUACCAAGGCGCUUGAGAGAACUCGGGUGAAGGAACUAGGCAAAAUGGUGCCGUAACUUCGGGAGAAGGCACGCUGAUAUGUAGGUGAAGCCCCUGCGGGUGGAGCUGAAAUCAGUCGAAGAUACCAGCUGGCUGCAACUGUUUAUUAAAAACACAGCACUGUGCAAACACGAAAGUGGACGUAUACGGUGUGACGCCUGCCCGGUGCCGGAAGGUUAAUUGAUGGGGUUAGCGGUAACGCGAAGCUCUUGAUCGAAGCCCCGGUAAACGGCGGCCGUAACUAUAACGGUCCUAAGGUAGCGAAAUUCCUUGUCGGGUAAGUUCCGACCUGCACGAAUGGCGUAAUGAUGGCCAGGCUGUCUCCACCCGAGACUCAGUGAAAUUGAACUCGCUGUGAAGAUGCAGUGUACCCGCGGCAAGACGGAAAGACCCCGUGAACCUUUACUAUAGCUUGACACUGAACACUGGUCCUUGAUGUGUAGGAUAGGUGGGAGGCUUUGAAGCGUGGACGCCAGUCUGCGUGGAGCCGUCCUUGAAAUACCACCCUUUAAUGGCUGGUGUUCUAACGUAGACCCGUAAUCCGGGUUGCGGACAGUGUCUGGUAGGUAGUUUGACUGGGGCGGUCUCCUCCCAAAGAGUAACGGAGGAGCACGAAGGUUAGCUAAUCCUGGUCGGACAUCAGGAGGUUAGUGCAAUGGCAUAAGCUAGCUUGACUGCGAGAGUGACGGCUCGAGCAGGUGCGAAAGCAGGUCAUAGUGAUCCGGUGGUUCUGAAUGGAAGGGCCAUCGCUCAACGGAUAAAAGGUACUCCGGGGAUAACAGGCUGAUACCGCCCAAGAGUUCAUAUCGACGGCGGUGUUUGGCACCUCGAUGUCGGCUCAUCACAUCCUGGGGCUGAAGUAGGUCCCAAGGGUAUGGCUGUUCGCCAUUUAAAGUGGUACGCGAGCUGGGUUUAGAACGUCGUGAGACAGUUCGGUCCCUAUCUGCCGUGGGCGCUGGAGAAUUGAGGGGGGCUGCUCCUAGUACGAGAGGACCGGAGUGGACGCAUCACUGGUGUUCGGGUUGUCAUGCCAAUGGCACUGCCCGGUAGCUAAAUGCGGAAGAGAUAAGUGCUGAAAGCAUCUAAGCACGAAACUUGCCCCGAGAUGAGUUCUCCCUGAGACUUAAAGUCUCCUGAAGGAACGUUGAAGACGACGACGUUGAUAGGUCGGGUGUGUAAGCGCAGCGAUGCGUUGAGCUAACCGAUACUAAUGAACCGUGAGGCUUAACCUU